GUUUAUGUAGCUUAAUUUAUCCAAAGCAAGACACUGAAAAUGCCUAGAUGGACUCACAAAUCCCAUAAACA
RNAcentral lists this transfer RNA (71 nucleotides) under Trachypithecus cristatus (Silvery lutung). RNAcentral describes it as "tRNA-Phe". It matches the Rfam family "tRNA". Rfam says of the family: Transfer RNA (tRNA) molecules are approximately 80 nucleotides in length. Their secondary structure includes four short double-helical elements and three loops (D, anti-codon, and T loops). Lineage: Eukaryota; Metazoa; Chordata; Mammalia; Primates; Cercopithecidae. RNAcentral also lists the same sequence under 1 other name. The record is from RNAcentral.